This 472-nucleotide long non-coding RNA is filed under the name Helianthus annuus (common sunflower). The record is from RNAcentral. Lineage: Eukaryota; Viridiplantae; Streptophyta; Magnoliopsida; Asterales; Asteraceae.
AUGAGCGACACACGGUGCACCAUUACAUGUUAUGACCCGAAACGAUUUUGUCGGGUCUUAUAUAAUGAAUCACAACAGUCGUUUCUUUUCUAAAACCCUAGCUAUCAAAAUCGUUUUUCUUCUUCUUGAAUCAUCUAUGAUCCAGAUGAUGUUCUAUGUAUUGAAUCAUCUAUGAUCCAGCGAUUUAACCUUCAACCUUCAUGUGCUAGAACCAUCAAGAAUACUGAAUACUGAUUGAUCGAGAAGCUAAUGGAAGAAGGAGUAGGAUUGGAGAUGGACUUCACCAACCUUGGUGUUGUCGCUGACUCUAUAGAUGCCUUAAUUACAUUUCCUCUCCGUCAUUGGUCUUAAGGAUACCAAAAGAAAAGGGGAUAAACCCUAGUUCAACAAAUCACCAAAUUGAAGGAGUAUUUGGGUCUCAAAUUCGUGCAUGAACGCGUAAAAACGAUCACCAAGUCAUGGGGAUCACAAG